Molecule: ribosomal RNA, 253 nt
Filed under: uncultured bacterium
Lineage: Bacteria
Description: partial 16S ribosomal RNA
Rfam family: Bacterial small subunit ribosomal RNA
Source: RNAcentral
UACGGAGGGGGCUAGCAUUGUUCGGAAUUACUGGGCGUAAAGCGCACGUAGGCGGCUUUGUAAGUUAGAGGUGAAAGCCCGGAGCUCAACUCCAGAACUGCCUUUUAGACUGCAUCGCUUGAAUCCAGGAGAGGUGAGUGGAAUUCCGAGUGUAGAGGUGAAAUUCGUAGAUAUUCGGAAGAACACCAGUGGCGAAGGCGGCUCACUGGACUGGUAUUGACGCUGAGGUACGAAAGCGUGGGGAGCAAACAGG